RNAcentral lists this ribosomal RNA (602 nucleotides) under uncultured archaeon. RNAcentral describes it as "bacterial SSU rRNA". It matches the Rfam family "Archaeal small subunit ribosomal RNA", at positions 222 to 824 of the family's 1478-position model. The record is from RNAcentral.
CUAUCAGGUAGUAGUGGGUGUAGCGUACCUACUAGCCUACGACGGGUACGGGUUGUGAGAGCAAGAGCCCGGAGAUGGAUUCUGAGACACGAAUCCAGGCCCUACGGGGUGCAGCAGGCGCGAAAACUUUACAAUGCUGGCAACAGCGAUAAGGGAACCUCGAGUGCCAGGUUACAAAUCUGGCUGUCGUGAUGCCUAAAAAGCAUUGCAUAGCAAGGGCCGGGCAAGACCGGUGCCAGCCGCCGCGGUAACACCGGCGGCUCGAGUGGUAACCGUUAUUAUUGGGUCUAAAGGGUCUGUAGCCGGCCGGAUAAGUCUCUUGAGAAAUCUGGCAGCUUAACUGUCAGGCUUUCAGGAGAUACUGUCUGGCUCGAGGCCGGGAGAGGUGAGAGGUACUUCAGGGGUAGGGGUGAAAUCUUGUAAUCCUUGAAGGACCACCAGUGGCGAAGGCGUCUCACCAGAACGGACCUGACGGCAAGGGACGAAAGCUAGGGGCACGAACCGGAUUAGAUACCCGGGUAGUCCUAGCCGUAAACGAUACUCGCUAGGUGUCGGCCACGGUGCGACCGUUGUCGGUGCCGUAGGGAAGCCGUGAAGCGAGC